This 497-nucleotide ribosomal RNA is filed under the name uncultured bacterium. Its description in RNAcentral is "partial 16S ribosomal RNA". It matches the Rfam family "Bacterial small subunit ribosomal RNA", at positions 28 to 507 of the family's 1533-position model. The record is from RNAcentral.
GAUGAACGCUGGCGGCGUGCCUAAUACAUGCAAGUCGAGCGAACGGACGAGAAGCUUGCUUUUCUGUUGUUAGCGGCGGACGGGUGAGUAACACGUGGAUCACCUACCUAUAAGACUGGGAUAACUUCGGGAAGCCGGAGCUAAUCCCGGAUAAUAUUUUGAACCGCAUGGUUCAUAAGUGAAAGACGGUCUUGCUGUAACUUCUCGAUGGAUCCGGGCUGCAUUAGCUAGUUGGUAAGGUAACGGCUUAUCAAGGCAACGAUGCAUAGCCGACCUGAGGGGGUGAUCGGCGACACUGGAACGGGAACACGGUCAUGGCUCCUGCGGGAGGCAGCAGAAGGGAAUCUUCCGCAGUGGGCGAAAGCCUUACGGAGCAGCGCCGCGUGAGUGAUGAAAGUCUUCGGAGCGGAAAGCUCUGUUAUGAGGGAAGAACAUAUGUGUAAGUAACUGUGCACAGCGUGACGGUACCUAAUCAGAAAGCCACGGCUAACUACGUG